GCACUACUUCCUCCGUUUCAAAUUACUUGUCGCAGAAAUGGAUGUAUCUAAAACUAAAAUACAUUUAGAUAUAUCCAUACUUGCGACAAGUAAUUCGGAAUAGAGGGAGUAGAUG
Triticum aestivum (bread wheat) is the source of this 115-nucleotide non-coding RNA. The record is from Rfam. Lineage: Eukaryota; Viridiplantae; Streptophyta; Magnoliopsida; Poales; Poaceae.